Molecule: ribosomal RNA, 550 nt
Filed under: uncultured bacterium
Lineage: Bacteria
Description: bacterial SSU rRNA
Rfam family: Bacterial small subunit ribosomal RNA
Source: RNAcentral
UAGGGAAUCUUCCGCAAUGGACGCAAGUCUGACGGAGCAACGCCGCGUGAGUGAAGAAGGUUUUCGGAUCGUAAAACUCUGUUGUUAGAGAAGAACAAGUGCUAGAGUAACUGUUAGCGCCUUGACGGUAUCUAACCAGAAAGCCACGGCUAACUACGUGCCAGCAGCCGCGGUAAUACGUAGGUGGCAAGCGUUGUCCGGAUUUAUUGGGCGUAAAGCGAGCACAGGCGGUUCCUUAAGUCUGAUGUGAAAGCCCCCGGCUCAACCGGGGAGGGUCAUUGGAAACUGGGGAACUUGAGUGCAGAAGAGGAGAGUGGAAUUCCAUGUGUAGCGGUGAAAUGCGUAGAUAUAUGGAGGAACACCAGUGGCGAAGGCGACUCUCUGGUCUGUAACUGACGCUGAGGCUCGAAAGCGUGGGUAGCAAACAGGAUUAGAUACCCUGGUAGUCCACGCCGUAAACGAUGAGUGCUAAGUGUUGGAGGGUUUCCGCCCUUCAGUGCUGUAGUUAACGCAUUAAGCACUCCGCCUGGGGAGUACGACCGCAAGGUUG